Non-coding RNA from Camellia sinensis, 3112 nucleotides. NCBI's taxonomy places the organism in Eukaryota, Viridiplantae, Streptophyta, Magnoliopsida, Ericales, Theaceae. The record is from RefSeq and is a predicted model, not a curated record.
GAAAGCCUUCAAGUAGAGUCCAAAAACCCAUUUUCUGCAUGAUGAAAAUCUUGUUUAGCAAAGACUGCCAAAUUAAAAGACAAUUUUAGAACUUUAGGCCAAAAGUUAAAUUUCAAAAAAAAAUGACACUGUGUGUACGGGAAUGUUUUGAUAAACAAACAAGAGAACAAAGAUAUAAAUGUGUGUAUAUAUUCGUUAUUUUUGUAUAAAUUUAAAUGUGUAUGUAAAUCUGGAUUCUACUAGUUUCGGAGGAUCUAUCAACGGGUUUUUAGUAUAGGAGCUCUUUUCUUUCUUUAUUAUUUUUUUUAAAGUUCCUACAUUAGCAAUGAAGAAUGUUGUAAGAAAUUUGUCCAUUUGUUAUGCCACUAGCACUAGGUUUACUCCAAGCCAACAUUUUUGCAUUUGGUUGGUACUUUUUAGUGGCAUGAAAAUGAUGUAUCAACAGUCUGUGAUGUUCAGGCACUGAUAAAAGUGGCACAAGGCAGAACUGAAGAGCUGCUCCUACAUCAGUGCCAAAAAAGCUACUUCUUCCUGGAGUUCCAGGGCUUUUAAUACUCGCAGGAUUUGUCGUAUGGUGUACUUACAUGAUAUUCAUGAUUAAUGACACACCAAAAGGUUGCAAAUAUAUUGGACAGAGAUGGAUAUUUCUGGCCUCUUAACUUCUGCUGGUAUCAAUACAGGCUUUUGUCUUGUGGCUUUUGCACUAUACUCCAUUUUGAGAAAACAGCCCAGCAAUGCAAGUGUGUACUUUGGACAAAGGCUUGCUCAGUUACGGGCAAAACGCAACAACCAUUUCUCUUUUGACAGAUUUGUUCCAUCUCCUAGUUGGAUAGUAAUGACCUGGGAAGCAUCUGAAGAAGAAAUAUUAGCUUCUGGGGGAUUGGAUGCAGUGGUUUUCCUCAAGAUUGUUGUUUUCAGGUAAUUAUAUCUUGACUUAAACUUGUAAAGUGAAAGUUCAUUCAUGUGUCGUAGAGGUGCAUGUAGUCUUGAUUUGGAGAAUUACUAGGAAUGACUGAUAUGUGGAGGUUUUUUGUUGUUACAUUGCUGGGUAAUGUGAUUGUUUCCAUGAACUACAUUGAUAAGGGAUUUAUUGUUGACUGCCUAUCACAAAAAAAAGAAAAAUAAAUAUAAAAGGGUUUCUUCUUUUCUGGUGCCUCUACGUUGGCAUCCUCUUCUUCUUUUUCUUCUUCUUCUUCUUCUUCUUCUUCUUCUUCUUCGCAAAUGUUAGAAAAGCUUGGCUACUCUUGUGGUAUCCAUCUUAUAUUAUUUGCUUAUGUUUUAUUCUAUUUUCUAUGACUAUGAAUAAGGGAUUUUUCAUUCUAGCUGAUUUAAAACAAUUGGGACCAAGAUUUGUUGAGUUGAAUAUUAUAUUAUUAUUUGGAGCUGCACACGAACUAAGCAAUUGAUAGAAAGUUCAUAUGUAACUUGCUUAUGAGCUUGUUCAAGGUUCUUUCCCUGUCAACAAAGGACAUUUUUUUGGAAGGAAAACACUAUAUAUUGCUUUAGCCACAAUAAAAGUAAUAAUAAGAAAAAUGAUGCAACUACAAGUUGAAUGUCUUAUGCUUCAGCUAGCAUCAUUAGCAUUGGGCUUUAAUUUUUUUUUUUCUUUUCUUUUUUUUGAGCCAUUUAUAAUAUGAGGAUCAUGUUUUUGACAGUGAAUGACAAAUACUGUAAUUUUUUAGUGCUUCACUUCAUACAAGGGAUCUCACAGUUUUUAUUCUUUUGAACUUCUAGGAUUAUAAAAUCCACAGAGAUGAGAUACAUGCAAAACUGGUUCAAAUAAUGAGAGAAAGGUUAUUUGUUCAUUUGCAGAAGUUGGCUAUUUUCAACGUGUCUUAACUUCCUUCGUUUUGUUUUGUGAGUUGUUAUUAACUUCAAAUUGAAACUUCUUGAAUUUUUUUCCAUACAUAUUGCCAGCAUUAGGGGGUGGAGUGUAAUUGCCGUUGAUUUGUUCCGAUAUUGCAAUAUUUGAAGAAAAAAUUUUGCCUUGGAGACCCCUGUUAAAAGUGUACCAAUAGCAUAAAAAUUCGCUCACUGAAAUUACUGGUUUGCCUACUCUUUAUUUACAAUGUGAUGCAGCACAGCUGGCAACUAGCACAAAUCAAUUAGUUAUUUGGGAAGUAUUUCUGUCAUAGGGCAAUUCAUCAUUACAUUUGCUGGAACUGCAGGCAGAGACUGGCACUUUGGUUUUACAGAGCAAUUAGUAACACUAUUAAACUCUAUAGGGUAGACUAGGGCCUGACUUUUGGGAUUUGAAGCCUGGUACUUCUUUGGCCUAAGAACUGAAGAACAACUAUAGUGCUGGAAAUGUUCCUUCACAUUUCACAGCGAAUGUAGACUGAAUAUGUUGUUCUGUUUUCAAUUAAUUGUUUUGAAUUAAGGCAUACAUAAGCUAUGCGUUUCCCAGUCAAACUUCUGGAACUAGUUGAUUUGAGCUUUUUAGAAUUGUUCCCUUAGAAGAUGAAUUUAAGAUCCUACAUAUUGUUAUAACUCUUCGUAAAUCAAUUUCUCUCUCUCUUACGUGUGUGUGCAUGCCGUGGUGUGGCAAUGAUGGGAGACAUCCUGGAAGAUCCAGCAAAGGAGCCAAAUAAGGAUAUGUACAUGAUGACUAUUGAGCCAGAAGAUGCACCCAACCAACCUGAAAACACUUCCUCGGUAUCAUCCGGACGUAAUCUGCUGUCUACUAGAGGUUCAAAUUGGGAUGAUGAAUGGCAUUCAAAUUUGCUCGGCUAUUGUUCUGAACCUAUUUUGUGACAACUUGCUCGAGAAGUUUACGAGAAUAUUAGGAGAGAAGCUUCUUGUCUGAGAAUUCAGAGAGAUUUUUGUAUGCAUCUUGCUAGAAAAGCUUAUAAAGAAUUGUACUCCUCUGCUGUUUCUAUUCAGGCUGGCAUGCGUGGAAUGGUUACACGUGAUGAGCAUCGCUUCAUAAGGCAGAUUGCUUUUUAUGGAAAGCUUUCAUUGCUGUAUUCUCUUAGACUACUUGACUACAUGAAUUGUGCAUUUGGAUGUAUUAGUCGGAACUGCAACAAUUUCUUUUUACACUAGCUUCUGUUCAACUGAGUUCUUUAAAAUUACCAUACUAUAAAGCAUUUAUAAUAAUGUUUUUCUUUUG